GGGCUCAUAGUUCAAUUGGCAGAACACCGCAUUCGCAUUGCGAAGGUUGCCGGUUCAACUCCGGCUGAGUCCA
Molecule: transfer RNA, 73 nt
Filed under: Candidatus Dojkabacteria bacterium
Lineage: Bacteria
Description: tRNA-Ala
Rfam family: tRNA
About the family: Transfer RNA (tRNA) molecules are approximately 80 nucleotides in length. Their secondary structure includes four short double-helical elements and three loops (D, anti-codon, and T loops). Further hydrogen bonds mediate the characteristic L-shaped molecular structure. tRNAs have two regions of fundamental functional importance: the anti-codon, which is responsible for specific mRNA codon recognition, and the 3' end, to which the tRNAs corresponding amino acid is attached (by aminoacyl-tRNA synthetases). tRNAs cope with the degeneracy of the genetic code in two manners: having more than one tRNA (with a specific anti-codon) for a particular amino acid; and 'wobble' base-pairing, i.e. permitting non-standard base-pairing at the 3rd anti-codon position.
Source: RNAcentral